This 1872-nucleotide long non-coding RNA is filed under the name Nicotiana tabacum (common tobacco). Its description in RNAcentral is "long non-coding RNA (NTAB_LNC010322)". The record is from RNAcentral. Lineage: Eukaryota; Viridiplantae; Streptophyta; Magnoliopsida; Solanales; Solanaceae.
UCAACCCCCUCCAUUCAUCGUCUCCAAGCUUGAAGACCUAAACCCUAGCGCCGCCCUCAUAUCCUCUCCGUCAUCUCUGCCGGCGGCGGGCCCCAAACCACCUCAAACUAACACCCUAGAGCCCCCUCACUCCCCUCUUUCCAAAUCCACACUCCAUUACCCUCGAAUCUGCCCAUAACCCCUCGAAUCUUAGAUCCAAAUUCAAGCCUUAAAAGUUCAAAACCAGUUGUGGUCGAAUCUGGUGGCAUGCAUCGACCCAAGAGUGCUUUUCUCAUGUUUGGAAGGUUGACUCACUACAAAGCUGAUGCUAGUCGUUCUUUCUUGACAGAGAAAAGCGACUGGUAUCAGUUUCAUAUGAGUCAAGAUAUCGAGUGUCAUUUCGAGUUUAGCCGGUAAGUUUCAUUCCAGUUUUGGGUCUGUUUCUGGUUUCAUUUUCACUUAUUGCCCCUCUUCUUUCUUUUCUUUUUCCUUAUUUGAAAUUUAACCAAAUUUUCGGCCAAGUUUGAGAUUUGUCAGUUUGGUUUUCGCUGGUUUUCCUUUUAUUCUUUUUGUUUCCAAGUCCGUUUUCCGGUCCUUCUUGAUUUGUUUGGUUUCUUUUGAUUAACUAGCAUGGUUAUUGUUCCAAUUAGUCGCCUAGUCAAUUUAAUUAGGGUUAUUUUGAUAACUUGGUUAAUUUCUUGCUCAUUUGUGUAAUUAGUUGAUUGGUAUAGGCUUAAUUCUCGGAAUUUUUAAAGUAUUUGCCCUUUGUUAGUUGUCUGAUUUGAUUCAAUCUAUCUGUGUUUGGGCUUUGAAGCCAUUACAUACCUCACCCCAAUGGGGGUUUGAUUUGGGUCAUUGGGUCAGAAUUGAGCCCACUUUUGGUUUCAUUAUCGGGUCAACUUGACCCAUUGGGUUUCAGGGGUAAUAACAGGGUUUUAAAGGGGUAGUCUAGGUAAUUAGCAUAGGGAAUCUAGGUGUAACAACCUUAGGAAGCUUCAUAGAAGGGAGGCUAAAAUGAAAAUUUCAGAAGGUGCAAUGUGUAAACCUGAUUUUCUUUAGGCUGCCCUAGUAACUUGCCUAUAAAGGCAUCUUAACUUGACACUCAAGUCAGAAAAAUGGAGACAAAAUCUAGAGAAAACAAAAACCGCUGAAAAUUUCAAUAAAAUCACUGUUUCAUUGAACUUCUUCUGUAAUUUUUGAAGUUUUCAAUUUCUGAAACAAUUUCUGAUUCAUCUCGGGUGGAAAUGGAUUGAAUUUGGAUUUGUAAAAGUUUGGUUUGAAGUUUGUUGUGUUACUGUUCGAUUGAACUGUGUUUUUAGACUACUGCACAUCAUGUUUCUGGUUUGAAAUUGGUUUUACUUUUUAUUUCCUGCUGCUGAAGUUCUGGUUCUGCUGCUGUCUACUGCUUUCCUCACUUCUUUUCCUUUCAAUUUCCAGGUAAAUCUGUAAACUAUGAAGGACAAGUGAUUGUAGAGUUGCAUUGUCGAGUGGAAAUUGAUUGAACAUGAAAUUGUUUGAACUUUGAUGCUCUGUUUCUUCUAUUUAUGUAUUAUUUCUGUAGGGAUUCUGAAAUUACACAUGUUAUUUCAGUUUUCUUUCCCCAUGCUUUAAUAUUUUGUAAAGACAAAUUAGUGAUAUUUGAAGGUGAGAGUAAAUGUUUGGGUUUAAAGUGAAUGUAAUGCUCAGGAGUUGAACAUAAGGACCGAUUAUAGUAAACUUAUGAUCAGUUGUGUUUUAAGUGUCGAUCUUAGUUUUUUGAAUGAAUUUAGUAUAUGAUAUAGUAUUUCAAUAUGCUGCUUUGGUUCCACAAGUUUACUGUGAGAAAUUGAUUUUAUUGAUUUGAAGAGAAAUGUUUGAUCCUUGGUCUUUCAUUAUUAGCUCAAUACAUUGGGA